This is a long non-coding RNA of Calypte anna (Anna's hummingbird), 642 nucleotides long. RefSeq lists it as uncharacterized. The record is from RefSeq and is a predicted model, not a curated record. The transcript has 3 exons. NCBI's taxonomy places the organism in Eukaryota, Metazoa, Chordata, Aves, Apodiformes, Trochilidae.
CCACCCCCGGCGAGUCCUUCUCGCUCUUUACUCUCGCCGCUCCAUGGGGCCGGAGGACAGGGGCGAUGACACCCCGCAGAGCUGGUGUAAGUGGACCAGCCCAUUAUAACGCCGGCGAGAGGCGGAGCCAGGACGAAGAUCUGAAAGGGUGGUGGGUGGAGAAGCAAGGUAGCAAAGGUCCUUCCCCUUCCUAGGUAUUUCGAAUGAAGCCGCAGUUCGGCGCGACUUCGCAGAGCCGGGCCCGCCUCCCAGGUGUAAAAUGCAGAAUGACGUAUAGGUGGCAGAGCAGAACCUGUUACAUGCAGUGAUUUAUUUUAAUAGCGCCGUAUAUAGCAAAUAGUUGUAAUGUGACAGCUCAACAACCUGUUGGAAAAUGAUACACGGCUUCACGAGUUGUGAAUUCCUAAUGAUUUAUGUAGCCUAACAAAAUCGUUUCAGUCCUGGCCCCUCUUUCCUUCUGUCAUAACCACACCUGGUGCAGGGGGAAAAUGGGAACAAGUAAGCAAUGCUGUGGACUUUUGCUACGAGAGAAUUAGUCCAAAAGCCUUAAUCUUAGCUGAAAGUGUGUUAAUGUGCAUGGCUUGAUCUUUUUCAGAUGGUGUGUUUAUAACAUCUCUGUUGUAAAUGUCACUCUCCUGUCAC